This 45-nucleotide non-coding RNA is filed under the name Schistosoma haematobium. Lineage: Eukaryota; Metazoa; Platyhelminthes; Trematoda; Strigeidida; Schistosomatidae. The record is from RNAcentral.
AUCUAGUUAACGAGUCUUAAAUGGGACGAAACGCGCGUUCUGGAU